CUGGUGUGUUGGUACCUAGUUUUGGGAAUUUGCUGGCUUCUGAGUUUCUUUCUCUUUUCCAGUGCCCAUCUGGCGUCUGACUGCUGCGAUGGCUUGGACUCUGAGGGUGGCUCCUUGGGCUUGCUGUGGAAGAAGCCCUGGCUCGGCCUCUGCUCUCGCCCUGCAGAGCCCUGCUGGGUACAGCCAGUGAGCGCCCUCCUUCCUCCUGCCAGACAGUGCUGGAUCCGCCAGGGCUGGGAGAGUCUGGCCAUGGCUGAGGGGACCUUUCUCAGCUCUGCUGCAUUGCUGCCUGGAGAUGGGCUGAUGCAGGAAGGUGCCCAGGAUGUGGAUAAAGUCAGACUCCAGGAUUUGCUGGUGCCAGCCCUGAGGAGCCACUAAGAAGAGG
This 385-nucleotide long non-coding RNA is filed under the name Fukomys damarensis (Damara mole-rat). RNAcentral describes it as "lncRNA (ENSFDAG00000031446.1)". Lineage: Eukaryota; Metazoa; Chordata; Mammalia; Rodentia; Bathyergidae. The record is from RNAcentral.